RNAcentral lists this ribosomal RNA (253 nucleotides) under uncultured bacterium. RNAcentral's name for it is "partial 16S ribosomal RNA". It matches the Rfam family "Bacterial small subunit ribosomal RNA", at positions 524 to 776 of the family's 1533-position model. The record is from RNAcentral.
GACAGAGGGGGCAAGCGUUGCUCGGAAUUACUGGGCGUAAAGGGCGCGUAGGCGGGAUGGCAAGUCGGUCGUGAAAUCCCUCGGCUCAACCGAGGAACGUCGAUCGAUACUGCUGUUCUUGAGGAUUGCAGAGGAGACUGGAAUUCCCGGUGUAGCGGUGAAAUGUGUAGAGAUCGGGAGGAACACCAGAGGCGAAGGCGGCGACCUGGACAGAUACUGACACUCAACUGCGAAAGCGUGGGGAGCAAACAGG